Molecule: long non-coding RNA, 547 nt
Organism: Hirundo rustica (Barn swallow)
Lineage: Eukaryota; Metazoa; Chordata; Aves; Passeriformes; Hirundinidae
Exons: 2
Source: RefSeq, a predicted model, not a curated record
UGACUGAGUGAGAAGAAACACCUGCUGACCCAGGUCGGACGACAUCUGACUUUCCUGACUGGCACUCCUGAAAAGGAACACUGAAAAGGGUCGCAGCAACCUCUGCAGAAACAUCAAAAAGCUCCCAGAACAUCAAACAGCCAAGCCAACAACUCCGGAGAAGAAACACCUGUCUGGCCAGAACACCAGCUCACUCCAGUUCGUUCCAGACGACGGCUUUCCACUGGGCCCAGGAACCCGUCACCCUGAUAUCUGCUGGACGGAGAUCGGGACACCUCUGAAACGAAUCGGACCACAGCUGGGGAAAGUUUCACUUUGGACCUGGGGAAGCACCGGGGGCCUCCACAGGGGACCCACCCCACCAAGACCAGCCCUGCACAUCUCCUUUUCUCCCAAUGUCAGCGGAGACGGAGCGGUGGAGCACAGUGACGACCCUCAAGAGGAGACUUUCUUUAAGUUUGUUAUCCCUCCGUAAGUGGCACGAAGCUCUUGUCAUCGGGUAUUGUGCUGGGAGUGCUUUGCCUGUUUAAUAAACAGGUUUUUUCCA